CCUACGGGUGGCUGCAGUGAGGAAUAUUGGUCAAUGGGCGAGAGCCUGAAGCAGCCAAGUCGCGUGAGGGAGUACUGCCCUAUGGGUUGUCAACCUCUUUUGUAGGGGAGCAAAAGACGGACGUGUCCGGCUGUGAGCGUACCCGAAGAAACAGCAUCGGCUAACUCCGUGCCAGCAGCCGCGGUAAUACGGGGGAUGCGAGCGUUAUCCGGAUUUAUUGGGUUUAAAGGGUGCGCAGGCGGAUUUUUAAGGCAGCGGUCAAAUCGUGGGGCUCAACCCCAUCCAGCCGUGGAAACUGGGGAUCUAGAGUGUGCGAGAGGUAUGCGGAAUGCGGGGUGUAGCGGUGAAAUGCAUAGAUAUCACGCAGAACACCGAUGGCGAAGGCAGCUUACCAAGCUACUUCUGACGUUGAGGCACGAAAGCGUGGGGAGCAAACAGGAUUAGAUACCCUGGUAGUC
This 458-nucleotide ribosomal RNA is filed under the name uncultured bacterium. Its description in RNAcentral is "partial 16S ribosomal RNA". It matches the Rfam family "Bacterial small subunit ribosomal RNA", at positions 338 to 795 of the family's 1533-position model. The record is from RNAcentral.